AGCCUCUCCGAGCGCUAAGGCAACCGACAAUGCUGAGGAUAGAAGAGAGGAGGAAGCUGGAUUUCUGUUUGGAGCAGCAACACACAUACACAUGCAUAGCUGUCCACAUCUUCGACAUUCCGCCUCCAUCUGCUCGAGCUUUCCCGUAGGCAGCGGCCAUCUUCCAACAUCUGCAUUCAGAGAAACCGCUAAAGCAUCAGUUUCUGCAUUAUGAGAAGAAGAUUGACACCCUGUCUCUGCCGGAGAACACUGAAAAGAGAACUUGAGCAACAAGCCUUCCAAGCUGACCGUCAGCCUACUCAAAUGUAUACCAAGAUUUACUGGAGGAGAUGAUGAUGGACAGCCGCUUCAACAUGUUGCAGCAUAUUACUGGAAUCCGCUGCAGGACUUGUCUCGUGGUUUCGUGUCCUAAAGCAACAUGAACAAACUUACAACUCAGAAAGCAAGACAACUGGCCCGCGGCUUAACCUGGGAGACGCACACGCACACGCACACACACACGCACACGAACACGCACACGCACCUAAUAAAUAUCAAGGUUUGACUUUUGGCCUGUGGACUCCUGGUGGUCCCCAGGAAACCACAAGUGGUCUCUCUGAGUAAUUUAGGCUGGAUUUAAGAUGCCAAACCUCACUGAUGAUUUAAAGCCUAUAUAUUUUUCCAGAAUUUCCCUGCACAUUUCAAGUGACACAUUUUUCAAUGGCCUUGUUUACAUUCACUGAAAACAUAAAACAAACCAGAUGCGGGACCGAAUUUCGCAUACUGUAAAUAAUGCGUCAACACAUGGUAGUGACAACACAGCAGUAAAGUGGGGGAUGAGGGGGUGGCGUGGAUGGUGGUUGGUCUUUACAGCUUAUCAGAGAAAAAAAAAAAACUCUCUCCAAGCAUGAAUGUCUGUGCACAACUGCACAUGCAAUGUACGCACAGAAAUAUGCCUUCCUGACACUUUUCAAAAAUCUACUUGCAAAAUUUGCACAACACUCCUCAAUUGGCGUUAACGUGACCGGCAAGUUUAAAAUUCUGUUUCAGAUGGUACAAACUCCAUUGAACGAAGCCCCUUUGGAAGUCCCACAGGUUCAAACUGUGCUCAACUGCACGCGCUCAGUGUCUGGUGAGCAAAAUGAGCAGCUGGUGAAGAGAGUGUUGGAAAAAAAACAUUCACUCCCGACAAACUGCUGCCAUUCAGGUAAACGCGCAGUCAUGUGAAAAGCUGAGAACUAGUUAGCGCUGAGACAAUCUUUAGCCUUUCCCUUGUCAAAGGCAACUGCCUUGUUUUGUUCAGUACGAGUGCUAGAGACACUGCAGCUUGAGCUCAAAGCGAAAAUGAAAAAAAUGAAAAGAAAAGUUGCAAUAAGUAGAAGAAAGACAAUUGGAGUCGAGGCCAAAGGCAGCAAACACAGUUUGAAUUCAGAUCUGCUGCCCCUCCUUCAGUGUGUGUGUGUCAGGGAAGCUCCUCUGCCUUUGGCUUCCUCUCGUUUGCUUCAAGCAGUGUAAUUGUGAUUUCACGGCCAGUUGGAUUCUGUCACUCCCAAUGACUUUGCCUUCUAUAUAAAACCGUUGGGCAUGUAUUUAAACUGAGAGUGAUGGGGCGGUCACCUUAAUAAUGGAUUUUCUCCGAGGCAGAGAAGCAAAUGUGCUUGAGAUGAGGGCACUGUUGAAUUUUUUUCUGUUGUUGGCUAGACGCAACUUAUUUGCAGUCCAAAGUGGCAUUGACUAAAUGUCUGCUUUUCAUUAAUAAUUCAAAUGCAAAAAAGAAGUUCUCUGCUGGCCAGAACACAAACAGAAGCACUGACCCACAUCCCAUCAAUUGAAAGGAUGUUUGGAGAAGAUUACAUAUUUUUUUUAAAAAUGCAAACUGCGAAACGCCAUAGACGGCCAAACAAAUUCAUAGCAUUGCAUCCGGUUUUAUAAACUCUGAAGCAACGGAUAUUUGAACGCAAACCGUGCAGCCACCCGUGUAGACAGACAUAACACCCAUAGGCGUAUAUUCUUUAUCCUCUGUAAGAAUAUUUUAAAAAUAUUAAAAUUCAGUGAAACUCUUGUGUGCAUCUGUAUUACACUGCCCCUUGGUGGCCACGCUAAGCAUACCAGGAGGAGCCCGACAUGGGUGUGGAACUCACUGAUGUUUUCAUUCAUUUCAAUAAAGGAUGCUUUUUGAUCAAGAAAUGAUUUUGAAAGAAUUGAUUUGGAGCAAAAUGUUUGCAAUUACUGUAGUUAGGAUCACAAUUUUGGGACAGACUUUCAACCAAAAUAGAAAAAAAAAAAAUUGUAGCAAGAAAUGACAACACAUUUUAUUUUCAUGUAUGGGCCACAUAAAGGCCUUGAGUUUCAAGGUGGGGUAAUAAAAUUGUAUAUAUUGUAUUGUAUAUAUUCUGGAGAAAAUACACGAAUUAAUAAAACUGAAGUUUCAUUUUCUUACAUAAAAUUGUCUUAAAAGUAAAACUGCUAGCCAAGUGUGGUAUAUCUCCAAGUUGUAGAUCUGAUGCAGACAGCCGAGUCCGUUUUAAGAUGCUGUUUAUUCUCACAAUUGGUUACAUUGAUAACGUGUACAAAUCAGUGAGCAGCAAACAGGAGCCUACACAUCCAUUGGCAGGAAAUGGAGUGUGUUGUUGUUGUUUAUGAGAAACUGGGAGCCCUCUGCAUGCAUCCUCUUCCUCCUCCUCCUCCUGCAGAGAACUCCCAGCUCCUGGUGUAUAGUUGCACUUUUUUUUUCUUCUGCAAAGCGGAGCCUGUUGGAGCGUUGCGAGCACUGAAACAAUGACUCAGAGUGAGACUUCAACAGCCUCCAUGAAUAAAAUCAGUAUAUACUUUUAUAAAAUAGAAUAAAUAAAAUAAAAAUAUUUCUGUUCAGUACAUACAGUCUUCCUCUCAAUCGCCCUCGGGCUUGCAAGGUAUUGCAACAACUCUUGCCAUGAAAAGAAUGCAUAGAUAAUUGCCUAUCAGGCGUCAACUUAAUUGACAACUGUGAGAAAAAAAAAAGUCAUUACUUUCCUUGUUUUUUCAUAUCUACAAGUUAUAUGUUACACUUUGGCCAUUUGGUGAGUUAAAAAA
This is a long non-coding RNA of Hippocampus comes (tiger tail seahorse), 3051 nucleotides long. RefSeq lists it as uncharacterized. Lineage: Eukaryota; Metazoa; Chordata; Actinopteri; Syngnathiformes; Syngnathidae. The record is from RefSeq and is a predicted model, not a curated record. The transcript has 4 exons.